Molecule: long non-coding RNA, 506 nt
Organism: Gastrolobium bilobum
Lineage: Eukaryota; Viridiplantae; Streptophyta; Magnoliopsida; Fabales; Fabaceae
Exons: 4
Source: RefSeq, a predicted model, not a curated record
GCCCUUUGGAGAAAUUUGGGGUUUUGAGAGUUUCUACCUCCAUUGAAGCUUGAGGAGCCAUCAAUCCUUGGUUGUGUGACCAUUGGUGGAUUGAGACAUUUGGACCAACCGUGAGUGAUCAACCAUUGGAGCAAGCUAUGGAGCUUGAAUAGCUCAUUGGAAUUGGUGUAUGUUUGUAAAAGUUGAUUGCUGAAACUGUUGGUGAAGAACAAAGGUUGACUGAAGCAUUGAGGUAAGGAUGCUGCAGGAGCCUCUGGUGGCAAGUGGCCAUACCUAGAUUAUGCAUGAAAUAUGGCACUUCUUUGAGUUUAUGCAUGCCUUUUGUAGUUGACAUGUAUAGGAUUUUAUUUUGAAAGCCCAUGAUCAUUUGUAUAUCUUGAUUCAUUGGAUGAACUUAGCCUAUGCUCAUGCCUUUGGUUACACCUUUUGUUGAUGGGAGCCAAGGGAAUGAUCAUAGUGUUUUGUAAGCUAAGUUCUAUGAUUUGUAAAGGAUAUGUAAUGUAAAU